UCGGGCGGCAGCGGGGUGGGAGCUUGCUCCCACUGCCGGCGAGCGGCGCACGGGUGAGUAACACGUAUGCAACCUGCCCCUGUCAGGGGGACAACCCGCCGAAAGGCGGGCUAAGCCCGCGUAUAUCGCCCCGGGGCAUCCCGGGGGGAGGAAAGGAGCGAUCCGGACAGGGAUGGGCAUGCGGCGCAUUAGCUGGUCGGCGGGGUAACAGCCCACCGAGGCGACGAUGCGUAGGGGUUCUGAGAGGAAGGCCCCCCACACUGGUACUGAGACACGGACCAGACUCCUACGGGAGGCAGCAGUGAGGAAUAUUGGUCAAUGGGCGGGAGCCUGAACCAGCCAAGCCGCGUGAGGGAAGAAGGUACAGCGUAUCGUAAACCUCUCUUGUCAGGGAACAAAGGCGGGGACUAGUCCCCGGAUGAGGGUACCUGAAGAAAAAGCAUCGGCUAACUCCGUGCCAGCAGCCGCGGUAAUACGGAGGAUGCGAGCGUUAUCCGGAUUUAUUGGGUUUAAAGGGUGCGCAGGCGGCCUGUUAAGUCAGCGGUAAAAGCCCGGGGCUCAACCCCGGCGAGCCGUUGAAACUGGCGGGCUGGAGUUGGAGAGAAGUACGCGGAAUGCGCGGUGUAGCGGUGAAAUGCUUAGAUAUCGCGCAGAACCCCGAUUGCGAAGGCAGCGUACCGGCUCCACACUGACGCUGAGGCACGAAAGCGUGGGUAUCGAACAGGAUUAGAUACCCUGGUAGUCCACGCAGUAAACGAUGAAUGCUUGCUGUCCGGGCAGAGAUAUGCCUGGGGGGCGAAGCG
Molecule: ribosomal RNA, 803 nt
Filed under: uncultured bacterium
Lineage: Bacteria
Description: bacterial SSU rRNA
Rfam family: Bacterial small subunit ribosomal RNA
Source: RNAcentral